CCUACGGGAGGCAGCAGUGAGGAAUAUUGGUCAAUGGACGAGAGUCUGAACCAGCCAAGUAGCGUGAAGGAUGACUGCCCUAUGGGUUGUAAACUUCUUUUAUAUGGGAAUAAAAUGUUCCACGUGUGGGAUUUUGUAUGUACCAUAUGAAUAAGGAUCGGCUAACUCCGUGCCAGCAGCCGCGGUAAUACGGAGGAUCCGAGCGUUAUCCGGAUUUAUUGGGUUUAAAGGGUGCGUAGGUGGGUUGUUAAGUCAGUUGUGAAAGUUUGCGGCUCAACCGUAAAAUUGCAGUUGAAACUGGCAGUGUUGAGUGCAGUAGAGGUAGGCGGAAUUCGUGGUGUAGCGGUGAAAUGCUUAGAUAUCACGAAGAACUCCGAUUGCGAAGGCAGCUCACUGGACUGCAACUGACGCUGAGGCACGAAAGUGUGGGUAUCGAACAGGAUUAGAUACCCGGGUAGUC
Molecule: ribosomal RNA, 460 nt
Filed under: uncultured bacterium
Lineage: Bacteria
Description: partial 16S ribosomal RNA
Rfam family: Bacterial small subunit ribosomal RNA
Source: RNAcentral